UCCUUAUAACUUGAAAAAGGAAAACCCUUCAAACUCCCAAGUAAUUAAGAAUCAUGGGUGUUAUCACUUAUGACUUUGAGGUAACUUCCCCAAUCUCUCCAGCUAGGCUUUUCAAAGCCCUUGUUCUUGAAGGUGAUAAGGUUUAUCCCAGAGCUGCCCCUCAUGCAAUCAAGAGUGUUGAGCUCCAAGAAGAUGGUAAGCUCGGAAGUAUCGUGAAGAUAAACUUUGUUGAAGGUGUCGAUUCGCUUUCGAUUACUAAAUAGAGAGCUUGCCAUGGAGAAUGAAUUUCUUGAUAAAAUGGAGGAUAAUGUGGUUGUCCGAGUGUGGUUAGAGAAAACGCAAUUUGAGAAAGGUGAUAACUUGACGGAGGGGUACACAUCAGAAUUAUGGGACUUCACUCAUAUUAGCGUGACUCAGAACAAUCUCCAAGAGUUGAAAGAAAUUUGGGCUCAAUGGAAUGAUGAAGUUAAACAGUUGUUUUAUGGUAAUUAUGGUGAUUUGCCUUAUUUACUUGAUAUCAAGGUAGACAAGCAUCUGUUUUGAGCUCUGGCCCAAUUUUGGAAUUCUGCCUAUAGCUGCUUUACCUUUGGGAAGGUAGACUUGGUACCUACCGUGGAGGAAUAUACAGCUUUGCUGCGUUGCUCGAGGAUUCAAGCUGACAAAGCUUACUCUAGAGCCGUCAAUGUCCCGACUUUUGUAAAGAAGUUAAUGAACAUCACUAGAAUGAGUGAGCAGUGGGUUACAACACAGAUCAAGCAAAAAGGAGAAAGCAAAUGUAUCCCUUAGAAAAGUUUGCGAAAUCUGAUUUUGGUGCACCCUGAUACGAAGAAAAAGGUCGAUGAUUUUGCUUUGAGUAUUUAUGGGUUAAUUAUUUUUCCUAAAGUGCUGGGACACAUAGAUGAGGCAGUUUCGGACUUGUUUGAUCGACUAGAUAGGAGGGUCAAGCUUGUCCCGGUAAUUUUGGCUGAGACAUUCAGAUCUUUAAAUGCGUGUCGGAGGACGGGUGAAGGAAGAUUCAUUGGUUGUGCACAGCUUCUGUUAGCUUGGUUCCACAGUCACUUCUAGAAAGUAGAUAAAAUUUCUUAUCGAGGAUUCUCCGAGAGUUAUUCUCUAUUGAAAGAAUUAGCAAUGACGUUGAGGCGCGACGGCAUUAGAAAAGAAAGAUGGAUAACGAUCUUUCAAAAUCUCCAAGAUGAAGAUGUCGGAUGGAGAGCUCCUUGGUUGGUACCCGAUGAGAUUUUGUACUGAUGCGGAAACUUCGACUGGGUCCCUUUGCUUGGAAAUUGAGGAGCUGUCGGAUAUGCUCCUCAGCUCGUUUUAAGACAAUAUAAAUCAAGACAGUUCAUACUGGCAACACAAGGGCUGGCUCAAUGUGAGUUUUCUUAUAAGGGUGAUAACUACAAGAAAAAGAUUCGAAAAAUGUCUAACGCCUGGAAUUAAACUCGUUGGAUGAAAAGAUUUACCGUAGGACCAAUGACGACCCCCGAAUAUUAUGGGUGGUAGAGUAAGAGGGUCAAUGACAAUAUCCCUGGGCCAAGUCUAGAAGGCGUUCGAUUGAUAGAGGAAUAUUUGCAAGUGGUCACAUCUGAGAUAGAAAUCAUAAAGCAAGAUUUUGAAAAGAAAAAUUAAAAGUUAGGAAAGAAGAUAGAAUAGUUGGAGGGAGAAAAAAUGCACUUGAGAUUAGAUGUUGAUGUUCAGAAGCUAGAAACUGAAAAUUAAUAAAAGGGAAGAAUAAACCGAAAAUUUAAGAAAAGGGAAGAAUAAAGCCGAGGAAGAUUUGGAUAGUUUGAAGAUACACUAUAAGAAGUUGCAUUUAUUAAUGAGAACCGCUAGGUUGGGGAAAACUUCAGAAUAGUGGUGUCAAGAGAUUCGAGAGGAAAAAAGCAAAGCUGAUAGAUGGGAAAGGAAAUUCCAAGAGGCUCAAAUGCGAAACGAGGCCUUAGAGAAGAUUUUGUCAAAAAAUCGAAAUGAAAAAGGUGAACUAAAAGCUAAGGUGGCUGAACUUGAGAAAACUCUUCAUCAUUAUCGAAAUCGUAAUUCUGUGAUGGAGCUAAGAGCGAGCUUAGGCAAGAUUGAGGAAAUGAAAAGAAGAGUAGAAGAAUUAGAGAUGGCAUUACAAAACUAUGAAAUCCGAAUUGAAUUCCUUAAAGCAAUAGAAGAGAUCACAAUAUGGGAGAAGUUGUGGCUCAGAUUCGAGAGGUAGCCGAUUACUUACAGACUUGGCAGUACAGGCCGAUAUACUGAGUGUAACGUACAAACUGGAAUCAAACCGGGGGCAAGAGUUAGCUUCACUGCUUAGGAAAAUUAAAUUCUGAGCAUUAGGGCGAAGCGGUAUAUGUAAUUUGUUUUAUGUAAAGAACUUUGUUUUCUAGUAAAGUUUUCUAAAUGGAAUUGAAUCGGAA
Long non-coding RNA from Gossypium raimondii (Peruvian cotton), 2402 nucleotides. RefSeq lists it as uncharacterized. The transcript is spliced from 2 exons. Lineage: Eukaryota; Viridiplantae; Streptophyta; Magnoliopsida; Malvales; Malvaceae. The record is from RefSeq and is a predicted model, not a curated record.